This 2044-nucleotide long non-coding RNA is filed under the name Anas platyrhynchos platyrhynchos (common mallard). RNAcentral describes it as "lncRNA (ENSAPLG00000021247.1)". Lineage: Eukaryota; Metazoa; Chordata; Aves; Anseriformes; Anatidae. The record is from RNAcentral.
GAUCAUGGCCAACACUUAGGGGAUGCUGUUGUCUGACACAUCAUACUAAUCCACCCCUUUGCUUUCCAAGGGCUUUUCUGGAAGGGUAUAUUUCUUAAGCUAAGCCAGAGCUACCACUUGUUACAUGACCCAGAAUAGGCACGUCAAGGAUCUGAUGAUCCUCUACCAUCAGGAAAUCCAGCACGUGAUUUCAUGCACUGGAAAUUAAAAGUUAAGAGAUCUGGAAGAGUCUAAACGAGUAGAACUCAGAAAGACCCCUGCAGUGAAUAGAUAGGCAAGAAAUGACUUUCCUGGAGCAUAUUUCAUCUCCCAUUAAUGGAAAUGAGGCAGUGCUCUACUGUGUAAUCUUUUGUAUUUCCCCUGUACACCCAGUUUGAUGGGUAUCUCAGUGAUCAGUUUAGCUAGUGAGCAAUUAAAGACUAAUUUAUAUCUUCACAUGAGAUUAAAAUGUUGGAUGGAUUAAUUUUUGAAAGCUGUUACCUUUCAUGGAAGACAACAUUAACUGAUUGGACAUACACACAGCAUUUCUACUUACUGAGAGAGGAGCUGCCAUGAAACUCAAGAAAAUCUCUGCUUCACUCAGCACACUUAUCCCAGGUGAUAAAUGCUUUCAUCAGCUCCUCUAGGUAAAGAUAAUGGCUGUUGCAUGGCUUCAUUCCAGUGAAACCCUAGCUACCACAGAACAUAGAGUUUAUUAUACACAUAAGUUUCAGUGAAGCAAUUUUCAUGCUGACCUGCAUUAAAUAUAUUGAUUCAGGUAUACAUGGCAGCACAAGGAAUAGAGCUUCUCUUCAUGCAUGCCUAUGUUGUCUUAAAGAGCAGGGAAUCAACCAUCAACACUGGGAUUGAGGGCUGAAAAGGCCGCUUGUUUUGUCAACGAAGCAAGAAGAGGAAGAAGGAGGAGAGGAGGAAGAAGAAGAAGAGAAAGAAAGGCUAAGCAGUUUCAGACCAUCUUGGUGCCUGGAUGAAAGAUGUUCCCUCUGAGUCAGCAGCGUGCUGUUCCAGCAUUUUGCAAGGGGUUUUCUCCUAUUGGCAAAGCCAGAUAUGGUCAUAAAUUAUCCAAGUCUUUAAAGGGACAACACUUUGGUCCACAAUGGAAAUUUCUUUCCAGGCCACCUUGGUUCAAGAGCAUGUGACAUCAAAUCUGAGUCCCCGAGCUCAUCUCGCAGCUCGUCUGCCCCCAUCUUCUGCUCCAUCCAUGUUGCUCACAACCAGAUUGUCAACCAGUGAUGCUUACACUUAGGCAGCUGGGCUGAGACUGAGAUGUGUCUCACGAUGAAGGAUAAUCAGCUGGGAGGUGAUACAUCAUAUUGGAGACUCCCAAAUCCUGGCCCCUGAAGGAUGCUUUGAUUUAAAUCAGCUUCUUACAGCUGUUCAUAGGUCAUUGAGAUGUGAAAGAGACAGAGUGAUCAUUCCAUUACCUUUUCCCAUCUUGCCUCUUUAAACAAAAUGACAACCAAAGGUAACAGUUCUAGCUCAAAAAGCCUCACAACAUCAGCUCUUUGGAGGUUAUGUUGAGGAAUUUUCACUUCCUGAUUCCCUCCACUGUAAGCAUUUGCAGUGUUGCAGAUAGGGUGCUGGGCCGGACCGAACUUUCCUCUGCUAUGAUCUUUCUUAUCUCCUGACAUAAAGACUUUCUUACACAUUCCCUCAAGCCUCCCAAAUGUGCUGCACAGGGAGAUGUGAUAAAGGUAAAUUUUGCUGCAGGAAAGUUUAGGGACAGCACACCUUGUCCCAGGCAGGUCUGCUGUCUUGCAGACAGGGUUCAGGAAGUCAUGGAAAUGCCUCCAGGUGCAUUUCUUUAGGAGAGUAUGGGAGAAGUUGCAGAUCUACACCUGCAGUUAUUAAUACCAACUACAUUUCAAUUUCCAUUUAAUGGGGAAGGAAACACCCUGCUGUCACUCAGCUUUGCCUUUGAUUAGCUUUUUCUUUAAAAGAUAAAUAAGUGGAAAUACUAGGUAGCCAAUGUGAAGAAAAUGAUAAAACAUCCUGAAAAAUCAAAUGCAUCAAAGUGUCAUCCCUUCACAUUCCUUUCCAUGGGCAC